GGGGUGGGGGUCAGGAAAAGCUUCCUAGAGGAAAAGCGACUUUAUGGCGCCUGCUGCCACCGCUCGCAGAGGACAAAAGAUCAGGGGACAAAGCUUGAUCUUUUGAUUUUGAUUUAGAACUGCCAAAGAAGAAGUCCACGUGAAAAUGCUGUGGGCCGUGCCGGGACCGCGGAAAGUUGAUGAGCAGGAGUUCCCUGCUGAAAGGGAGAUGGAGCUGGCAGUGUGACUUGUGGGUGUGGGGGGAGGCUCCACGCCCAUCUCUAUCUCCCAGGAAAGUCAUUCUUGUCUUCAGUCCUCAGAUUCCUAAAAGGCGGAACUAAAGCCUAAGCAAGGCAAGAGAAGGGAAAGAGAAUGAAUUCAGAGAAGAGGUGUGCAGGAGAGAGGGGAAAGAAAAAGGACUGUAGAAAGUGGGGAACGUUAGAUACCGCCCAGGCAGUUCCUACAGACAGAGGACCUGAGGUCUGAGGGGCUUAUUCAGAUAUCACAGUUACAAAGAUGGAAAAGCUGUCUCCUCCUUUGCUGAGAGGUUUGCUCAUUCUACAAGAUCUUUGAAGCUUUUGUAGACUUCCUUAAAUCUCUCCAGACUCCACCAUACCAUACCCAUUUCAACUGAACACGUUAAACAUGCCUGUGUGGGAUGUGAAACUUCCUUGACCGGGAUCGAACCCAGGCCCUGUGCAGCGGAAGGUGUGGAGUCUUAACCACUGGACUACCAGGGAAGUCCUAAACAUGGUUAACUUUCCGAAUACAAAUUUGCAAGAGAGCUGGCAUGGAGAAGGAAAUCCUUUAUCUGUGUUCUGGGCCGUCGUGACAUUUGGAUGAGGUCGAGCAAGGAAGGAGGCUGUCUUUGGGGCAGACAAAGUGCACAGCCCCACUUUGACACACCCUUGGAAGCCAUCUCCUGCCUGCUGUUCUGGGCUCUCAUUGCAUCCGUGGCCCUUUCUCCCCAACCUGGAGACAGCUGGAUGCGAGCUCCUGCCCGGCCCACCACAACCCCUGGCUGCCUCCCUCUGAGGAAAUAAAACCAAGUCAAGCAUCCCACCCAAACCUCAG
Molecule: long non-coding RNA, 1053 nt
Organism: Bos taurus (domestic cattle)
Lineage: Eukaryota; Metazoa; Chordata; Mammalia; Artiodactyla; Bovidae
Source: Ensembl